GAUGUGUUCUAAUGCUGAAAAUAUUUAUUAGUUACCACCGCUAACCAUCUCGGGUUAGCGGUGGUCGUUGGAGGUGGACUUGGAGGAGGACGAGGAAGACGGGGAGAACAAGGUGGACGAGGAGGACAAGGAUUUGUGCUCGUAUUCGAGGUAUAACCCGAGAUGGUUAGCGGUGGUCGUUCAAGGUGGCUGGGGGUUGUUUCGGGUGAUCGAGUUGGACGAGGAGGAGAACGAGGAAGACGAGGCGAACAAGGUAGAUGAGGAUGAAGAGGAUUUGUGCACCGUACAACCCGAGGUGGUUAUCGGUGGUUGUUCGAGGUGGUUGGCGAUUGUUGGAG
Molecule: long non-coding RNA, 338 nt
Filed under: Neodiprion lecontei (redheaded pine sawfly)
Lineage: Eukaryota; Metazoa; Arthropoda; Insecta; Hymenoptera; Diprionidae
Description: uncharacterized LOC124293308, transcript variant X2
Source: RNAcentral